RNAcentral lists this ribosomal RNA (344 nucleotides) under uncultured eukaryote. Its description in RNAcentral is "SSU rRNA". It matches the Rfam family "Eukaryotic small subunit ribosomal RNA", at positions 594 to 945 of the family's 1831-position model. The record is from RNAcentral.
AUAGCGUAUAUUAAAGUUGUUGCAGUUAAAAAGCUCGUAGUUGAAUUUUGGGUCAGACUGGUGGGUCCGCUCAACAGCGAGUACUUACUAGUUUGGCCUUCCUUCUGGCUAUCUAGUCUGCCUUUAAUCGGGUGGGCUAGAGAACCAGGACUUUUACUUUGAAAAAAUUAGAGUGUUCAAAGCAAGCUUACGCUUGAAUACAUUAGCAUGGAAUAAUAAAAUAGGAUUUUGGUUCUAUUUUGUUGGUUUCUAGGACCAAGGUAAUGAUUAAUAGGGACAGUUGGGGACAUUAGUAUUUCAGUGCUAGAGGUGAAAUUCUUGGAUUUCUGAAAGACUAACUACUG